UCUCUGAUAGGAGGGUUUACUCAAAGAGGAGGUUGGAAAUAAUCAGCCUGACUGCUGAUACAUAGAAGAAAACAUAGCGAUUCAUAGCAACAAGAUUAUGAUCUGAUAUUCUUCAAUAUAACCAAACACUCAAAGAACACAAAAUGAUCAUCUUAUAUCUAAGCAUUACUUUUAACACACUUCUGGUUUCAGGUUCCUCCUUUAGUGACCAAGUCCACCAGACUCCAGCUGACAUUUACAAAGAAACUGGAGAAACAGCCCAAAUCAGCUGUUUACACAGUAUUGACAGCUACAACCAAAUCCUCUGGUACAAGCAAUCAAAGGACAGAAAGCUACAGUUGUUGGGAUACAUGGUGGGAGAGAGUGGAAACCCAGAGAAGGGAGUGAAUGUGAAGAUAGAAGGAAAUGCAAACAAAGGCCAGACCUGCACAUUAACAACUGAAGAACUCAGUCUGAACAGCAGUGCAGUUUACUUCUGUGCUGCUAGUUUACACAGUGAUACAUAUCACUGCUCCUCAGUACAAAAACCUCCUCAUCACACAUUUUUUAUCUCUGUAUUACAGCUCACAGCCUGAUGCACCUGUACUCCUUCCUCUCAGUAGAUGGUGGUAUAUCUUUACUCAGACCUUUAUACUGAGCAAGUGGUGUUUAGUGGUAGUUGACAUGAUGGUUAUAUUUAAGAGGAGGAGGAGGACACAUUAUGACACCGCCCACCUAAAGACUUCAUGUUGAUUUGCUGACAGGAGGGUUUACUCAAAGAGGAGGUUGGAAAAAUCAGCAUAACUGCUGAUACACUGAAGAAUAAUGAUUCAUAGUAAACAAGAUUAUGAUCUGAUAUUCUUCAAUUAAACCAAAUACCUAGAAUAGAACACAAAAUGAUCGUCUUAUACCUAAGCAUCACUUUUAACAUACUUCUGGUUUCAGGUUCCUCUCUCAGUGACAAGGUCCACCAGACUCCAGCUGACAUGUACAACAAACCAGGAGAAACAGCCAAAAUCAGCUGUUCACACAGUGUGGACAACUACAACCAAAUCCUCUGGUACAAGCAAUCAAAGGACAGAAA
This is a long non-coding RNA of Micropterus salmoides (largemouth bass), 1063 nucleotides long. RefSeq lists it as uncharacterized. The transcript is spliced from 3 exons. NCBI's taxonomy places the organism in Eukaryota, Metazoa, Chordata, Actinopteri, Centrarchiformes, Centrarchidae. The record is from RefSeq and is a predicted model, not a curated record.